UUGUGAAGCUCUCCGUCUAAAAUAAAUACAACAGAGUCAAAGGCCAAUGUAUCACUUAACAGGAGAGCUAAAAAAGAAAAAAUAAAAGAUCAUAUAUGUUGGCAGUGUAGGUCAUGUUUUUCAUAUAAAAAAGGAUGGUUGUUUUUUUUUUUAUGGUAUGAAUUAUUGAAUCACAUUUUGUAUGGUUUUCAAAAUGUAAUAUUUUUUUAAUAAUUUGUGCUGAUGGAUAGAGGAAAAAGAUUAGAAAACUUUGAUAAUUAUACAAUUGUGAUUCCUCGAUGGACGUGGUGAGAGA
RNAcentral lists this long non-coding RNA (295 nucleotides) under Elaeis guineensis (African oil palm). RNAcentral's name for it is "long non-coding RNA (EGUI_LNC019598)". The record is from RNAcentral. Lineage: Eukaryota; Viridiplantae; Streptophyta; Magnoliopsida; Arecales; Arecaceae.